RNAcentral lists this ribosomal RNA (465 nucleotides) under Vreelandella stevensii. RNAcentral describes it as "partial 16S ribosomal RNA". It matches the Rfam family "Bacterial small subunit ribosomal RNA", at positions 338 to 795 of the family's 1533-position model. The record is from RNAcentral. Lineage: Bacteria; Pseudomonadati; Pseudomonadota; Gammaproteobacteria; Oceanospirillales; Halomonadaceae.
CCUACGGGGGGCAGCAGUGGGGAAUAUUGGACAAUGGGGGGAACCCUGAUCCAGCCAUGCCGCGUGUGUGAAGAAGGCCCUCGGGUUGUAAAGCACUUUCAGUGAGGAAGAACGCCUGGUGGUUAAUACCCAUCAGGAAAGACAUCACUCACAGAAGAAGCACCGGCUAACUCCGUGCCAGCAGCCGCGGUAAUACGGAGGGUGCGAGCGUUAAUCGGAAUUACUGGGCGUAAAGCGCGCGUAGGUGGCUUGAUAAGCCGGUUGUGAAAGUCCCGGGCUCAACCUGGGAACGGCAUCCGGAACUGUCAAGCUAGAGUGCAGGAGAGGAAGGUAGAAUUCCCGGUGUAGCGGUGAAAUGCGUAGAGAUCGGGAGGAAUACCAGUGGCGAAGGCGGCCUUCUGGACUGACACUGACACUGAGGUGCGAAAGCGUGGGUAGCAAACAGGAUUAGAUACCCUAGUAGUC